CAUGCAGAGGUAAGAUGGGGCAUAGGCUAGAGGCAUUGCCACAUGCAAAGGUAAGAUGGGGCAUAGGCUAGAGGCAUUGACACAUGCAGAGGUAAGAUGGGGCAUAGGCUAGAGGCAUUGACACAUGCAGAGGUAAGAUGGGGCAUAGGCUAGAGGCAUUGCCACAUGCAAAGGUAAGAUGUCACAUAAGCCAGAGGCAUUGACACAUGCAGAGGUAAGAUGUCACAUAAGCCAGAGGCAUUGACACAUGCAGAGGUAAGAUGUCACAUAAGCCAGAGGCAUUGACACAUGCAGAGGUAAGAUGUCACAUAAGCCAGAGGCAUUGACACAUGCAGAGGUAAGAUGUCACAUAAGCCAGAGGCAUUGACACAUGCAGAGGUAAGAUGUCACAUAAGCCAGAGGCAUUGACACAUGCAGAGGGAAGAUGUCACAUAAGCCAGAGGCAUUGACACAUGCAGAGGUAAGAUGUCACAUAAGCCAGAGGCAUUGACACAUGCAGAGGUAAGAU
Dreissena polymorpha is the source of this 508-nucleotide long non-coding RNA. RefSeq lists it as uncharacterized. Lineage: Eukaryota; Metazoa; Mollusca; Bivalvia; Myida; Dreissenidae. The transcript has 3 exons. The record is from RefSeq and is a predicted model, not a curated record.